Long non-coding RNA from Triticum urartu, 3839 nucleotides. RefSeq lists it as uncharacterized. The record is from RefSeq and is a predicted model, not a curated record. NCBI's taxonomy places the organism in Eukaryota, Viridiplantae, Streptophyta, Magnoliopsida, Poales, Poaceae.
CCCUCCUCCUCCUCCUCCCUCGUCCGCCGCCGCAUCCCACCCUCCUCCUCCUCCUCCCUCGUCCGCCGCCGCAUCCCACCCUCUCCUCCUGCCUCUUCUGCUUCCUUCCUCCUCCCCGGAUCUGCAUCCCAUACGAGGAGUAAAAAUGGUGGCGGCAGAGCAUGGGGUUGGUGACAGCGGUUGGACGAGGUGGUCCACAGGCGAGGAACGGCCACAAAGCAUUCAUCCGGCCACCCCACCGGAGCCUCGGCGGCUGCAGUGGCGCUGCCAUUCUCUCUCUCUUUCUCUCUCUCUCAUGCCACUGUUUCCCUCCCUCAUCCAUCGACACAGCCCGGUCCACCUCACCGAGAGCUCUCAGUGGUAGGGGAAUGGCAGCGACGGUGGCUGCUAGACAGUAGAGGCUCGCCGAGGUGGUCCAUUCCAAGGAAGAGGGAGACGAUGUCGGUGACAAGGAGGGGGUGGAGAUGAAAUGGGGCCAAAUGUUCCUGCGGCAACAAUAGCAGAUCUGAAUUUGUGUUGCUAGGGUGCAGACUGGCCUGGUUUCGAGGAAAAACAUGAAGAUUCAAUUGCCAUUUUCUCUUGCCAAUUCCAUUUUCAGCAGCUUUCAGAGAUGCCUCUUCAUUUGUUAGAAAAAAACAUGGAGACUCAAGUGCGUCUUUUCCUGCCAAUUCCAUUUUCAUAAACUUUCAAAGAUCUUCAUUUGUUAGAAAAUACUUUUUUGAAUUAUGAGCUUGGUCUUUCAACAUGGCAUACAAAAUGUACCUUUGAAUAUAAUAUUAUGUUGCUACUUGCAAAGUUUUUUGUGUGCUAAAUUGUUGUUCAAAUUUCCAAGAACAUGUUAAUUUUAUGUGGCUGCAGAGGGGUAUAUCAAGUUAUGAGCAGGGUGCAUCAAUGGCUCACAGCGGAGGAAGCGGCGGUGACUGCUAUUGCUGCAGCAAGGCGCUAGCUAGCUAGGUGUAGCUGACGCAAUAAGGUUGCCUCCCUGGUUCCCCCUGAUCUGCGCGGUUGGACCUUCAUAGCGUUGUUCAACCACAUCCACAUGGUGGUAUGUGUGAGCGAUGACGCCGGUGGCCUGUGGCCAGAUAUGGAGGCUUAGCUAAUGCAGCGGCAUGGCAACUUAGAUGCGAGCACUAGCUGUUUGUAUAAAUGCACAAGGAGGAGUGCUCAGGGGAGGACGAUAGUUGUUUGUAUAAAUGCACAAGGAGGAGUGCUUAGGGGAGGACGAUAGCUUUCAGGUGUACAUGGAGGAGGUGAAGGCGACUACAGAGGAGCUUGCCGUAGCUGCUCACCUGCUCCGGGAAUCCUCCUGACAGAAGCACGAUGCCAUGUCCUAGAGUUUGUUCACGUACUUCUAUCUGCCUAUAAUAUAUGCUGACAAUUAUAUGUGACUGAUUAAUUAGCUAAAACUUGAGAGGUUAAGGACAAGUGUUUUCAAAUGAAGGAAUAUAGUGUACGUGCAGCUAAUUACAUACACAUAUGCAUCAUUCCAUAAUAAUUGGAAGUUUGGAUAUUAGGUAUUUGUUAAAGACCAGGGAUCCUAAUUGGCCAUUCCCAUACCACAGUUUUCACUGUAUGUAUCUCAUGAACAUUAUCAUUAUGCUCUGUACCAGAAUUGUCACUGUAUCUCAUCAUUGUUUGGAGUAUACCUUUGCAGCUCCAUAGUUAUUAGAAUGGUUUUACUUCCACAUAAUAGCCUUGUUCAAAUAAAAUCACAAGACCUUCGUAAGCUUGCUUAGUUACUAUGGAGAAGGGCCUUCUUCCAAGGAGCUGUAGAUUUUGAAUAUGCUGCUGGUUGGACACUUUUCCACUAUAUGUACAGAAUAGGGGUAGGUAACAGCGCAACUUAGGUUUUGGGGCAGGCCUCACUAGCAAUUAUGGCAUCCUCUUAUUUGGUUGCAGGUUACUUGCCUUGUUCUUUCAGCCCAUCUCAAGAAUUAUAGUGCAGUUUUUGUGGAGAGCCCAUGUUGGUUUGCUUGAUUUAUGUUCAAAAUGGACAAUACAAUGCUCUUUGAGUCAAGUUUGUAUAUAUUCCGAGUACUCCUUUAUUAUUUAUCAACUGAGGCAUGAUUGUUGUUGCACUUCUUACUAAAAAUAAACCUGGUGUUAUUUUCUUUGAGAAAAGAAAUAGACGGCUCAGAUGUGUGCUUCUUAGCAUCACAUCAAAUUGAAUAAUCGAAUAGGGUUAUAUAUCAUCAUAUCUGCAUACAUAAUAUCUUCUGUAAUUAUAUACCGGUGUAGGCUCUUGUUGUUAGAUGAUGAACUUAUGUUAUGUUAUGCCAAGUAGUUAAAUUUAUGUGCACCUUCUCAUGUGUUUACUUGUUUCUGCUUUUAUAGUAUGGUUUGGUCCUGUUGUGAAAAAAGAUCCUGAUAUGUUUGACUAUUCUGUUUUUUUCUUUAUCCAAUGACCUAUUAAUGUGCUUUGAGCAUAUGACAAUUGUUUCCUCACUAUCUUAGAUUAGUAGUAAUCCUUCUUUUAUGUUUCUGCAAUUUCAGUUCCUGCUUUUUGAAAUUUCCUUUGCAUUCUGUAUCUGCACAUCCCCUCUUGUGGUCUGUUGUAAUGGUCUACUGAACAGCCAUAUCAUGCUAUGAUUGCAUCGUUGCAUGACAAUGUACCAUAUGCUCAUGCAUUUCUUUUCUUACCGAUGUUGUCCUGAUGAGUUGGCUGGCUUACAUGUGCGCCCUCCAUCCUAAAAUAAGUGUCUCAACUCUGUUACAAAGUUGUACUAGAGUUGACACUUAUUGUGGGACGAAGGGAGUAGUCUCCUGUGAAGGUCUACAUGUUUUAGGUAGCAUUGCUUUCUGGAAUACGUAAUUGGAACCUGGUAACAUUCACUGGUUACAGUCAGCAAGACAGGAAGAACAUACUUGUGUAUGAGUUCAUGCACAACGAAAGGACCAACUUAGCUGAUGGUAAAUUUUCUCUGUGGAAUCAACAACACGCUCCUGUAUAUACACAUACGAUUCUUUCGCAGCAAAACUUUGUCCAUGCAGUUGUAUUUCAGAUCUUUAGAACUACAGGGUAGUUUCUAUAUUUGCUGAUUCAGGUUGUCUUAGGCUGCAGCUCCCCGUCCAGCUACUGUGUACCCCAUAUCCUUUGAAGAGGAUAAAUCUGAAUGAAAACUUGGAAUUACCUAAUAGGUCCAUACAUGAACUAUUGAUGAUGUGAAUAGAAACACCUGUAGUAGCGCUGACCUUUGGCAACCUUCACGUCGUGCCUCCAAGGCAGGCCAUGAGUGAUGGUUGCCGUGAUGUUGGCCUUGCAAAAAAUAGGGCUUUGCUGACUGGUGACUGGCUAUAGUUUGUGUUUGUUGUUUACAUGUCAGUUUUUAACAAUUUGACCUAUCUUUUAAAGACAUUAUAGUUCACAAAAAGGAAACUUUUUAUAGAAAAUAUAUGGGUUUAUAUUAGACCAUUCUAGACCAUAUCUCUUUAAUACAUAGUUUAUUAUAUUCUGUUUUUAAAUAUGAGAGUGCCCAUCUUACUUAGUGGCAUUGCUAUGCUUCACAAUAUACAAUAUUUUGCAUGCCUGUAUAAUUCAUAAGUGGUUUUUCGUAUUCAGGUGUUAUUAAUAUGGUGAGUGAUUGAAGGGGAGGCAUGAGGAGAGAGCAGUCCAAAGGGCGGAUGGAGCAUGUAACUUGUUGAUGUUAGUUUCCAUUUCCGGAAAGAACAAAUUUUCUAUGAUUUGAGUGUAUGCUGAUGUGUCAAAGUCAAUCAUUUGGAUUCCCAACUAGACUAUUAUGUGAGUUCAAUAUUUUAGUGUGCAUUGAUAAAAUGUUUUGCCUGUGUUCACAAGUUGAAUUUUGAAACAGAUAUGCAUAAGGGAGUUUGCCAUUUAAGAA